UUUCUGGUGGCUCAGAUUGUAAAGCAUCUGCCUAUAAUGCAGGAGACCCAGGUUCAAUUCCUGGGUUGGAAA
This 72-nucleotide transfer RNA is filed under the name Ovis aries (sheep). It matches the Rfam family "tRNA". From Rfam's summary of the family: Transfer RNA (tRNA) molecules are approximately 80 nucleotides in length. Their secondary structure includes four short double-helical elements and three loops (D, anti-codon, and T loops). Further hydrogen bonds mediate the characteristic L-shaped molecular structure. tRNAs have two regions of fundamental functional importance: the anti-codon, which is responsible for specific mRNA codon recognition, and the 3' end, to which the tRNAs corresponding amino acid is attached (by aminoacyl-tRNA synthetases). tRNAs cope with the degeneracy of the genetic code in two manners: having more than one tRNA (with a specific anti-codon) for a particular amino acid; and 'wobble' base-pairing, i.e. permitting non-standard base-pairing at the 3rd anti-codon position. The record is from Rfam by way of RNAcentral. Lineage: Eukaryota; Metazoa; Chordata; Mammalia; Artiodactyla; Bovidae.